RNAcentral lists this non-coding RNA (29 nucleotides) under Rattus norvegicus (Norway rat). The record is from RNAcentral. Lineage: Eukaryota; Metazoa; Chordata; Mammalia; Rodentia; Muridae.
UUUUCAUAUGCUGGUCUCAACUCUUAAUA